UCUUCAUCUCUCUCUCACUUUCUCUCUCUCUAACUCUCUCUAUAUCAGCAAACCCUCUGCGGCCAGAUCUGAUCCUCCCACCGCCUUGCGUCGCUCGCCACUGAUCCCCCACCGCCGCUCCAUCACCGACGUUUGCCGAUGCUUCGCCACUGACGUUCGCCGCUAUUCCGCCACCGUCGUUCGCUUUGCGCCGCUGCUCAGCCACCUCCGUGCUCCGCUACUCAGUCACCGCCUUGUGCCGCUGCUCCACCACCGACGCUCGCCGCUGCUCCACCACAGCCAUUCGCCGCCGCCUCGAGCCGUCGGUCGCUGCUCCUCCCACCGCCUCUGUGGAAAUAACUGCGAUCUAUGCUCUCAUUAUUCAGACCAUAAAUUCUCGUAUUUCGUGUAAUUUCAGAUACCCAAGAUUCAUGUUAGAGGUGGAAUGCCAAUUGCAUUUGCAGAUUUUGAGGUUUUGCUUUGUAUAACAUUAUGAGAUGCUAAGGAUAAGGCGCAGAGAAGUGCCAUGUAAAGUUGCAUUCAUGCUACAGUACUCCAAACUUAUGUCACUUAUAUAACUAUAGAUAACUAUAGUCAUGUGUAGUAACAUAUAGUUAUAUGUAUGCUAUGCAGUUUUUAAUGUAUAGUAAUGCGUGUUUAUGCUUUGAUGCUUAUAUGCACGUAAUUGUGUUUUUUUUUUGGUUAGUUGAUUUAUAAUAUCAAGAUUAAAAUUGUGAA
Molecule: non-coding RNA, 717 nt
Organism: Erythranthe guttata (spotted monkey flower)
Lineage: Eukaryota; Viridiplantae; Streptophyta; Magnoliopsida; Lamiales; Phrymaceae
Source: RefSeq, a predicted model, not a curated record